This 305-nucleotide ribosomal RNA is filed under the name uncultured bacterium. Its description in RNAcentral is "bacterial SSU rRNA". It matches the Rfam family "Bacterial small subunit ribosomal RNA", at positions 338 to 660 of the family's 1533-position model. The record is from RNAcentral.
CCUACGGGGGGCAGCAGUGGGGAAUAUUGCACAAUGGGGGAAACCCUGAUGCAGCGACGCCGCGUGAGUGAAGAAGUAUCUCGGUACGUAAAGCUCUAUCAGCAGGGAAGAAAAUGACGGUACCUGACUAAGAAGCCCCGGCUAACUACGUGCCAGCAGCCGCGGUAAUACGUAGGGGGCAAGCGUUAUCCGGAUUUACUGGGUGUAAAGGGAGCGUAGACGGCUGUGCAAGUCUGGAGUGAAAGGCGGGGGCCCAACCCCCGGACUGCUCUGGAAACUGUAUGGCUGGAGUGCAGGAGAGGUAA